RNAcentral lists this unclassified non-coding RNA (237 nucleotides) under plant metagenome. Its description in RNAcentral is "partial contains small subunit ribosomal RNA, internal transcribed spacer 1, and 5.8S ribosomal RNA". The record is from RNAcentral.
UUUCCGUAGGUGAACCUGCGGAAGGAUCAUUACCGAGUGAGGGUCUCUCAGGCCCGACCUCCCACCCUGUGUUUUUGUGACCUUGUUGCUUUGGCGGGUCCGCCUCGAGGAGAGGCCGCCGGAAGCUCACCGCUUUGGGCCCGGGCCCGCCAGUAGCCCCCUUAAAUUCUUAAUAAACCUGUCGUCUGAGUCCAGAUAUAAUAAAAAAAACUUUCAACAACGGAUCUCUUGGUUCUG